UCUAAAGGGUAGCAGGACAUCAUCAAACACAAGUAUAAGCCUUCUGAUGUCAAUGGCCUUCCAGUUUUCAAUGUUGUAUUAUCACAGCCAUGGAAAGGCAUAUACUCUAUUAUUAACUCUGAUUCGGCAACUUCAACUGUCUUAAAGAAUGAGUGCUAUUUCAAGGUUGGUAAUGGGAAACCAUUAAAUUCUGAAGAAUAAAUAGCUACAAGCAGGGACUUUAUGAAGUAUCAGCAUCCAAAACAGCGUCACUGCUGGGAAUGAGGAUCUUCAAGUUAGAUUCUUAGCACUGGAACUUUAGAUGGAAUCAGAGAUUAAGAUCCUCAGAUCAGACACAACUUCGGCAGCUUGUUCUCCUAUUAGAUGGGGUCAGCUUGAAUACACACAGAAAGUAUUUGAGGGAAUUUUCUCGUACAUGGGCGAUUGCUUAAUCUCAGUCAAACAGCUUGCCCUCACUGCAAUAUUGGCAUAAAGAAUGUGAAUCACCUUUUUCUUCAUUGCUACGCAUUUUGGCGUCUUUGGCAGCGUUUCAUGAACUGGUUGGGCAUUAGUUGAUGCAUUCCAAAGUCUAUCGAUCAAUCAAGUUGUUUUGCAAUGGAGCGUUCUAGUAAAAGGCCACUUCCAACGACGAGCACUUACAAAGUCUUCUUGUGGGAUUUUGUGGAACACUUGGAGUGUAAGAAACAAACUGAUUUUUUAAGACAUCAUGCCAGUUUGGAAUACAAUGUUUGAACAUAUUCUUCAUCGUUUGUCUCUCUGGUUGUUAAAGGCCAUGGAUGGAAAUUUUUCAUAUAUUGGGAAUCAUCUAUUUAGAAGCUCAGACGGUAUUUUAUUAUUGGAGCUUUUUUUCUAGAAUAAAA
Molecule: long non-coding RNA, 860 nt
Organism: Populus nigra (black poplar)
Lineage: Eukaryota; Viridiplantae; Streptophyta; Magnoliopsida; Malpighiales; Salicaceae
Exons: 2
Source: RefSeq, a predicted model, not a curated record